UAUAGCUGUGUGUUGUAUUCCUUGACUCUGCUGUGCUAGUUAUGGCUCUCCAGGGGUGGAGUUUACAGGACUACACAGAGACACUGCAGCCGUAGCGCAGAUACACUUCCUCCAAGGACAGGGCCGUCUGUUGUCGCUGCUUGAUGACAACACGCUGCAACCUGUGGGAGCUGGGCGGAGCUUCCGGGACAGGGGAGAGGCUAAGAGAGAGGGCGUGGUCUACCUGGAAGAAAAACGCAACUCAGUCUCCUGGGACGACCUGGACUAGAGAGCUGCAGUGCGAGCCGUGUGACGGUUUCUGCUGUUGCUGAGGUCAUGUGACCUGCUGUGUGUCGGCACCGAGGGAGGGGGCAUACACUUCCUGGAUCUGCCACGCCUCUCGUUGAGGGACAACCAAUCACUCCUGCUGACCAGGUGAUGCAGAGGUGAGUGACAGCUGCUUCAGCCAGUGGGAGGAGGUAUGUGGUUCUAGAAUGGGUUGGGUUCUAGAAUGGUUUGGUUCAGAAUGGGUUGGGUUCUCCAGUGUUCCAUCCUGCUCAGCUGAGAGGAGAUGUGUCCACAGGUGUGUAUCUAUGUUGUGUGUACACUUCCACUGCGCCUGUUGU
Long non-coding RNA from Salvelinus sp. IW2-2015, 605 nucleotides. RefSeq lists it as uncharacterized. The record is from RefSeq and is a predicted model, not a curated record. Lineage: Eukaryota; Metazoa; Chordata; Actinopteri; Salmoniformes; Salmonidae.